CUCAAAUUUUGUUUACACCAAUUGUACCUCACCAAGAACAUCAGCAAAAAUUCACGGAAAAGUUGUUCUGAAACAUUCCAUUGUCUGUUGCCGAUUCUGAGGGGAUAAGAGCUAGUCCAGUUCUUACAUCACAAUAUAUUCAUGUCAUGAAAGUGUUUCCUCUGGAUAGUUUAUAAGAUACAGAACUCACCAUCUCAGAUCCUGAGACAUUUCAUGGCUACUACCUGAAGUUACAAAGCAAUUUGCCACCACAUAGGCUGUAAGAGAAACAAACUGUCAUUCGAAACUCCUUGUAAUUCCUUUUGAAUCUCAUCAGGCUCUGGUGCAUGGUUUAGCCCAGAAGAAAAGCUGUUCCUGAAUGAAAAUGCUAGAAUCUUCCGACAGCCUAUAUGGGAAUGCUGUGGAUAAACAGAGGAUCCCUUUAUCACACGUAGCUUGUGAGCUGUGUCCUGCUUAAACCAUAACUGUCUACAAAUAAUACUCUUCAACUGAAAGUAGAUAUGCUCCCUUAUCUGCUAGAAAUACUCUUGUUCAGUAUAAUAAGAAGAGGCACCAUUCCCUACAGAGUCAUGCUUGGCUCCUCAGGUCAGGCCAUGCCUACUUACAUGUGCCAUUAUGUUACACUACAUUUACUUAAACAUAAGAUGAGAGAAUUGGGACAUCUCAUUGUUACAAGAAGGUCACAGUGUGCACUUACAGGAACAUGUUUUAUGGAAAAUCUUGGCUUAGUAUGAUGCCUACAGUAGACACUUAAACUUGUGAAUGAAGCAAUGAAUGAAAACAUGAAUAUACGUGUUACCAAAAAAAAUGUUUUUCUUUGGUUAUUUCCUACAUUAACCUUUGAUGGAAGCUAAGAGUGUAUCAGUAAAUAAUGGCUUGUUCAGGCAUUUGUGGGGAGUGACAUUAGCACAAUAUAAGCAGGUCUGUAACUUCCAAGGUAGAGACAAAGCAUUCUCCUGCUAAUGAAAACAUAUCAUUUUUGAUGUAGUCGGAAAAGUUCAGUAAGAAAGUGUUGUCUGUGUGCAUAUGUGUGUUUAUAUAACGGCAGAAGGAAGAAUGUACUGGGCCACCCAGGGUGUCCACAACACACUCAUUGCAGAAGCUACAGGAGCCUAGGAAGAGGCUCUUCCAACAUAGAUACAAUGGCAUAGUGCUGUAGUCCGCUGUGGUUCUGAGAUUUUAUCCCCAUAUAAAGUCAUUAUUUAUAUAUAGCUAUAAUUUCACAAAAAUAUACUGUAUUUU
RNAcentral lists this long non-coding RNA (1242 nucleotides) under Vulpes vulpes (red fox). RNAcentral's name for it is "lncRNA (ENSVVUG00000024570.1)". Lineage: Eukaryota; Metazoa; Chordata; Mammalia; Carnivora; Canidae. The record is from RNAcentral.